UUCUCUCCAAGCUGUCGUGGAGAGAGGAUGCAUUUUUCUGCUCUUGCAGAGGCAAGAUGUCUUUCUGUAAUAUACCAGCUUUGAACUGUAAAUAAAGCUAUAUGGAGUAUGGAGCACGUAUUCUCAUCCUUCCGCUGGGCACGACAGACUCUGCUUUAAAUCAACACGUGGUUAUGGACUCCAGAGGUCGAAUCGGAGUGCCGGCAGAUCGGAAUGCAGAGGGACGGAUCGGAAAGGAAUCUGCUCUGCGCGUCGAAGUGAUUGAUGAGGUAUGUGCUACUGCUCCGGGCAGCCUGCCAGCUUCAAGUUAAUGGCUUUAUGGCUGGACUUUGAACUAUUAAAGCCGGUUUUGCCGGGAGUAGGCAAAAGGCUCCCAGGCACAAGUCACUAUGCUGGGGAAAUCGAAAGUAACUUUUAAGUGUGCCUUUGUAAUGAAGCAGCUGCAGCAGUGACGCAGCAAGAUUUAAAGCAGCAUAGAUAUGACGCUGAAGGCUAAUGCCAGAGUCAUGAUGGCCCUUCAGGAUGCUUGUGGGAUUCCUAAGCUCAACAAGAAAAAUUACAGUGACUGGGUUCAGUAUGCAGAGGCAAUUCUGCGGAAAGAGGGUUUGUUUGAGGUGAUUACAGGAACCCCCCCAGUUCCAGUUACAGAUGCAUGGGAAGCUAAGGAUUCCAAAGCAAGGGGAACUCUUACAUUGAUAGUAUCCCCAGAAGAGCUCUGUCUAUUGCGUGAUAAGACCUCAGCCAGAGAAAUUUGGGACGCUCUGAAAGAGGCUCAUUUAAGGACAGAAGCUGGAUCCACUAUGUUUUACUUUAACAAGCUGCAUAAUAUGGCUCUUGCUGAAGGUGGAGAUGUGCGUUUACAUCUAAUGGAGAUGCAAAAUCUGAGACAUGAGCUGCAACAGAGAGGACUCAACUUUCCAGAGGCUGUGUAUUCUUUCAUGAUACUACAAUCUUUGGGUUCAGGUUGGGAGUCUGUUGCAACCCAGAUUGCUGUGCAACCAACUGCUCAGCUGACAGUGGACUUUGUUACUGCUGUGAUUUUAAAUGAAGCAGAUCGCCGGGGUGCUAGCUGCAUGGGCAAGGGAGAGUCUUCACAGACGUCAUCCCAUAGUGCAGUGGAACCACCAGAUGGCGCCAAAGCUUUGAAGGCAGUGAAAUGCUACUCGUGUGGAC
Podarcis lilfordi (Lilford's wall lizard) is the source of this 1173-nucleotide non-coding RNA. Lineage: Eukaryota; Metazoa; Chordata; Lepidosauria; Squamata; Lacertidae. The record is from the annotation of a GenBank genome assembly.